This 1884-nucleotide long non-coding RNA is filed under the name Volvox carteri. Its description in RNAcentral is "long non-coding RNA (VCAR_LNC000114)". The record is from RNAcentral. Lineage: Eukaryota; Viridiplantae; Chlorophyta; Chlorophyceae; Chlamydomonadales; Volvocaceae.
UUGAGGACUUUGUAAAGGGUUUGCAGCCUGGAAACGCAAUGCUUCCUGCAAGCACGACAGGCGGAGCAACAGGUUAGACCACCGGAUAGUAGCAUCGCCCUACAAAAAAGUGAUCACCUGUAUCUCAUGUAAUCGCCGUGGCGAAGCCCAUUUUGAGCUUGCGCCGUCUUAAUGGCCGAGAGAAGCGCAAGCGGCAGCGGAGAUUGCUGCGCGGGAACAGGCGCUGCCUCUGUAGUAGUCUGAGUCAGGUCAAUCUCCAUUAUCUCUGGCUGAUCGCCAGCCAUGGUCGGAUGUCACUUGUGCGCACUCCGAUCACCAAUAGGUUAGGCCCCGCAAGAUCAAGAUAUCAAGCAACACGUGCUUGCUUUUAUCUGUAAAUGGCUCUUAAAUUUGGCAAAGCCCCUCAAUAACGCAACGCUUGACGACUUGUCGAAGACAAUUUACAAGGGUAAAUGUUCUCGGCUAUGCUAGUUAAUUAUCUACAUCCAGGCAACUCAUCUCCAGCAUGGUAGUUGCAGAUUGUUUCGUGUUUGGGAAUGGCCCAGGGGUCCGACCCGUACAUACUGUCGCAAAUUUCUGUUUGUCGAGUCCGGUCCAUCACAUUAUUACCAACCUACAAUGCAUAGUGCAAUUCACGGGACGGGUGCAGCUGAGCUUUGCUUUGCAACGCUACGGUACAACCGUCAAGGACGUGUACGGCACAGCCCCCCUACCUAGCACACAUAGGAGAUGCGCAUAUUACUGGCAAUACCUAACACACGCCCUUCGUGGGCGUCAGGGCCUGGGAAUGCAUGGUACGUGCUUGGCAUCCCUAACUGCGCUGCUAAGCUGGGGGCCUCCAACUGCCUCAGGGACGCGGUCCCUAGUACCCCUAACUAUCCAUAACCCGCACUCUGUACUAAUCGUCCUUUUAUGACCCGGAUCCCGUCGUGGUCCUCAGGACAGCACACACACCUGCAUGCAUUUGCCUCUGCCGGUUCGUUGUAGACCAACACCACCAGCAAAACCAACAGAGCAAAACCAACAUUUCGCGCACAGCAAUCCUCAGAUCGUCCUCUCGCCCCGCGCAAGGCAAGUGCGCAAAGCACGGACGUCUUAAAGGUACCUACGCCUCGUCCUCCUCCUCCUCGUCCUCCUCCUCCGUCCCCUCCCCACCUCCUUCCUCCUCAUCAGCAUCCACCUCGCCAUCAACUGCCAUGCCAGCCUGGCCCUGACCCUGGGCCAUCUGAGCAGAUGCCAUCCCACCCUCUGCUCCCGUCCCCUUCGCUCCUGCAGCCGUGCUGCUGCCGGCCCCCCCACCCGCUGCUACUGCUCCGCCAUCCUCUGCACCUCCAUUAGCACUGCCCACUGCCGCUGCCGCAGGCCCCUGGCCCUCUUGGACCUUGGACGCCGCGAGAUCUGCCUGCAGCCUGGCCAUCUCCUUUCGCUGCCGGGCCUCCUCCCGCGCCGCCUUGUCUUGCUUGCGCCGCUCCAAGUCGGGCACGUAGAACUCCCGAUACUCCUUGGCGCACUCCGCCACUUGCUGAGGAGGGUCAGGUAGGUGGGGGAAAGUAGGGAGGAAGUGAUACUUCACUUGGGAGAACCUCUUGGUAAAUUAAGAGGUAGUGAUUGAGUAAGGAGGAAGUGCGGGGGAUGGAGGAGCAGUUGCACGGGUUGCGGGGUCCGGCACAAUCCUUGGCACACUCGCCACCCGCCCACCCCACCCCACCCCACCCCACCCCACCCCACCCCACCUGCAGCAUGUCCUCCAUGCCCUCCCCCGUCACCGCCGACACCCCCACACUGCGAAGGUUGGAGUAGAAGGAGUCCAGCACCAGUGCCAGAGAGCGGGACAACGUGGCUGCAUAGCUGGAGUCCGCCUCCAGGGCCGCUGAGUAGCUGUCG